This 437-nucleotide ribosomal RNA is filed under the name uncultured Actinomycetales bacterium. RNAcentral's name for it is "bacterial SSU rRNA". It matches the Rfam family "Bacterial small subunit ribosomal RNA", at positions 342 to 791 of the family's 1533-position model. Lineage: Bacteria; Bacillati; Actinomycetota; Actinomycetes; Actinomycetales. The record is from RNAcentral.
CGGGAGGCAGCAGUGGGGAAUAUUGCACAAUGGGCGAAAGCCUGAUGCAGCGACGCCGCGUGAGGGAUGACGGCCUUCGGGUUGUAAACCUCUUUCAGCAGGGACGAAGCGCAAGUGACGGUACCUGCAGAAGAAGCACCGGCUAACUACGUGCCAGCAGCCGCGGUAAUACGUAGGGUGCAAGCGUUGUCCGGAAUUACUGGGCGUAAAGAGUUCGUAGGCGGUUUGUCGCGUCGUUUGUGAAAACCAGCAGCUCAACUGCUGGCUUGCAGGCGAUACGGGCAGACUUGAGUACUGCAGGGGAGACUGGAAUUCCUGGUGUAGCGGUGAAAUGCGCAGAUAUCAGGAGGAACACCGGUGGCGAAGGCGGGUCUCUGGGCAGUAACUGACGCUGAGGAACGAAAGCGUGGGUAGCGAACAGGAUUAGAUACCCGAGU